This 254-nucleotide ribosomal RNA is filed under the name uncultured bacterium. RNAcentral's name for it is "partial 16S ribosomal RNA". It matches the Rfam family "Bacterial small subunit ribosomal RNA", at positions 524 to 776 of the family's 1533-position model. The record is from RNAcentral.
UACGUAGGGAGCAAGCGUUGUUCGGAUUUACUGGGCGUAAAGGGCGCGUAGGCGGCAAUUCAAGUCAUCUGUGAAAUCUCCGGGCUUAACCCGGAACGGUCAGGUGAUACUGUUUUGCUAGAGUGCGGAAGGGGCAAUCGGAAUUCUCGGUGUAGCGGUGAAAUGCGUAGAUAUCGAGAGGAACACCAGAGGUGAAGACGGGUUGCUGGGCCGACACUGACGCUGACAGCGCGAAAGCCAGGGGAGCAAACGGG